AGCUGAAUGGCGCAGCGGAAGCGCGCCGGGCUCAUAACCCGGAGGUCGCUCGAUCGAAACGAGCUUCAGCUA
Molecule: transfer RNA, 72 nt
Filed under: Schizothecium vesticola
Lineage: Eukaryota; Fungi; Ascomycota; Sordariomycetes; Sordariales; Schizotheciaceae
Also listed under: 1 other name
Rfam family: tRNA
About the family: Transfer RNA (tRNA) molecules are approximately 80 nucleotides in length. Their secondary structure includes four short double-helical elements and three loops (D, anti-codon, and T loops).
Source: Rfam by way of RNAcentral